AUGCAGACCAGACAAGUAAGUAAAGUACAGUUGUAUAAUCAAGUAGAAGUAGUCUGUUGUUAUUCAACUUGUACAGUACAUUAUUUUCACAAAAUAUGCUAAGUUAAUUAUUAUUUAUCUAAAUCAUUUGAAGAAUCGAGUUUUAUCAGCAACAAUACGUUGGAUUGCUGAACAGCAUGGGUGAAAGAUUUCUACAACAGUACAUCUACAGUAGAUGUAACUAGUAAAUAGGAGGAUGGUGGUUGAACUAAUUGCUACAACAUUUUUCCAUUCAGAAAAAAAUAUGGGGACCGAGCAAGGCUAAACCAAACAAAUGCAAAUGCUACUUAAUGUUGAUAAUAAAAACCUGCCGUUGGAAUGGAUCGAGUUGAUGAGAUUUACGCCUUUCAUGCCAUUCCCCAUUGUCUUGGAACUUUUCAGUCAAACUUACAUCAUCCUCAUGAAAAUGUUUAAUACAUACCACAGAGCUUGCAUUGGGUUCCCAAUCUGUUCUAGAAAUUGCACGAAUCCACGCCCUACACAAUUCAGGAUUCUUCGGAAAGAAAAUGUACUAGUAACUCCUUCAUCUUUUACACUAUUUCUAUAAUUUGAUUUGCAACCAGGAACAACACAUGCUCGAGGCAUCUCAACAUCACUGUAUUACUUGUACUUCAUAAAUAGUGAAUAACACGAAUAAACAUGGUUUCUAAUUUA
Long non-coding RNA from Macrosteles quadrilineatus (aster leafhopper), 693 nucleotides. RefSeq lists it as uncharacterized. The transcript has 3 exons. NCBI's taxonomy places the organism in Eukaryota, Metazoa, Arthropoda, Insecta, Hemiptera, Cicadellidae. The record is from RefSeq and is a predicted model, not a curated record.